CAAUAGCGUAUAUUAAAGUUGUUGCAGUUAAAAAGCUCGUAGUUGGAUUUCUGGUGGGAGCGAUCGGUCUGGCGCUUAGCGCGAGUACUUGCAUCGUCUCCGGCCAUCCUUGGGGAAAGUCUGUCUGGCAUUAAGUUGUUGGGCAGAGGAUCCUCAUCGUUUACUGUGAAAAAAUUAGAGUGUUCAAAGCAGGCUUAUGCCGUUGAAUAUAUUAGCAUGGAAUAAUAAGAUAGGACUUUGGUACUAUUUUGUUGGUUUGCGCACCAAAGUAAUGAUUAAUAGGGACAGUUGGGGGUAUUCGUAUUCCGUUGUCAGAGGUGAAAUUCUUGGAUUUACGGAAGACGAACUACUGCGAAAGCAUUUACCAAGGAUGUUUUCAUUAA
This 383-nucleotide ribosomal RNA is filed under the name uncultured eukaryote. RNAcentral describes it as "partial 18S ribosomal RNA". It matches the Rfam family "Eukaryotic small subunit ribosomal RNA", at positions 592 to 976 of the family's 1831-position model. The record is from RNAcentral.